Molecule: ribosomal RNA, 440 nt
Filed under: uncultured bacterium
Lineage: Bacteria
Description: partial 16S ribosomal RNA
Rfam family: Bacterial small subunit ribosomal RNA
Source: RNAcentral
CCUACGGGUGGCAGCAGUGGGGAAUAUUGCACAAUGUGGGAAACCCUGAUGCAGCAACGCCGCGUGAGUGAAGAAGUAUUUCGGUAUGUAAAGCUCUAUCAGCAGGGAAGAGAAUGACGGUACCUGACUAAGAAUCCCCGGCUAACUACGUGCCAGAAGCCGCGGUAAUACGUAGGGGGCGAGCGUUCUCCGGAUUUACUGGGUGUAAAGGGAGCGUAGAAGGUUCGGCAAGUCUGAAGUGAAAGCCCGGGGCUUAACCGGGGAACGGCUUUUGAAACUGGGGAACUGGAGUGCUGGAGAGGUGAGCGGAAUUCCUAGUGUAGCGGUGAAAGGCGUAGAUAUUAGGAGGAACACCAGUGGCGAAGGCGGCUUGCUGGACAGUAACUGACGUUGAGGCUCGAAAGCGUGGGGAGCAAACAGGAUUAGAUACCCGUGUAGUC